This 2788-nucleotide long non-coding RNA is filed under the name Pan troglodytes (chimpanzee). RNAcentral describes it as "lincRNA". Lineage: Eukaryota; Metazoa; Chordata; Mammalia; Primates; Hominidae. The record is from RNAcentral.
AUCAGUCUUUAAAGAGUUAAGUUAAAAUAAGCUCUUUAAAGUGGGCCCUAAUCCAAUAUGACUGGUGUUCUUAUAAGAAGAGGAGAUUUGGUCACAGACAUGGUUGCAUGCAGAAUAAAGACCUUUCGAGGACACACUGAGAAGGCAGCCAUCUGCAAAACAAGGAAAGAGUCCUCAGCAGAAACCAGUCCUGCAGACUCCUUGAUCUUGGACUUCCAGCCACUGCAACUGAUGUCAAGCUUCAGCACCCUUGCAUCUCUGGAUAAAUGAAAUGUCACCCCAGCUGCCGUCCUUGUUCAGAUCUGUGCAAUAAAGAGCAAAGCAUAAAACCAAGUCAAGGCUUUGAGGGAGUGACCUACAAAAUGCAUAAUGUGAAACAAUGCAAAAGCGAAAGGUGCAAAAUCCCCAUCAAAGAGCUGGAUGCUGACAGAUGCGCCAGCGAUAAUUCCCAUCUUCCAACACAGGAGCACAGCUUCCAUUUUCCAUAACAGAACAACAGCCAGAGCAGCUGGAAGGCAGGGCUGCAUCCCAGACUUCCACCAACAAUGGGAUGAGACUUGACAUCUGGAAUCACAACCACAACAGACCUAAGAGACCCACCAGCUUGAUGACAAGCUUCUUCUUUCAAAGAAAGGUAUCAGUCUGGGGGACCUAGUGCUGCAAACCAUGACAAAUUAAGUGUGGCAUCCCUCACUUGCCUAAUGGAACUCAGUGAUAUUUUUUAAUUAACAAGAGUUAUUUUUAUGUAAGCAUCUCUCAUUCCUCCACUGUGCGUGCUCGGGGUCUGGUGGUGAGGAAAAAGAAAACAGCUGUGCGGGAAGCAUCAAGAAAAGGCAAGUCAUGAAGUCUUAGAGAUCAGUGACAUGUAAGAAAAAGAGUGAGGAGAAAAAUAUUCCUACUAAAGUUUUCCAUUUGUUUACCUUCCUUGUCACGUAGACCUCCAAGAGUUAGAAGUCUAGGAUUUGAUCUCCAAAUCUUCCUGGAAGAUUACUCAUCUUCAUUUCAUUCAUAUAGUCCAGGGGUUUGUACAAAGGAAGAUGCCAGUUCUUCCCCAAUCAUAACUAAGAUAUCAAGAGAUAUUCUUUUGAAACAUAACAAAGGAGAUCUAAAGUUCAUCUGAAAAAAAUAAAUGGUUUUAGGCGGUCAUGACCAUGGGAUGCUGGACCAGGAUGGUAAGCUUCAGGAAACAGAAUCUGGAGAAUGCCCAGCUGCUCCCACAGGAAGCAUCAGGGAAGAAGAAGAAGAGGUGUGAAGUCUGCCUUCUGCUCUGCUGGGAUCCCUUUCACAUCUCCUUUGCCUCCAGGCAGUUUUGGUUCCUGGCCAUUUCCAGGUGUGACUCACUCAGGAUGGUAAGCAUCUUCUCUCCUACCCAGAGUAGAGGAUGAAGACCUCAUCUCAGAGGUUGAAGGGAGCUCCAGAGAGAGGUCUCAAACUUCCAGCAUUAACCGCUAAAGAAGCUUCAUGAGCUGCUGGAGAACCUGGGAAAUGACCAAUGAUAGGGACAGAGCUCAAAUACUCUGGGACACUCUAGUAGCUGAGAAAGUUCCAACUCCAGGGCGAUAGAGGACUGCCUGGCAAACCAUCAUCAAAGCAGAAGACCUGAUACUAACAUCACAGGCUAUGGUUUAUUACUGAAGAUCGGUGCUUACACCCUGCCAGAGGUUCAGAAGCAAACUUAUCAUCGUUCUCCCUGGAGAUGUUGGCCCACAUUCUGAAAAGUGUGGUCAGUAGUAGCAACAGAAAGCAAUUGUGCUUGCCAAGCACAAUGUCACUGUCCCCAGCCCUUCCCCCAACACAACCCAGUAGGUGCUUCCUUGCUGCAAACUUGGGAAAGUCACUUGACCUGUCUGAGGUUCCACUUCCUAAUCUGGCCUGGCGAAGAUAAGAAAAACAGUUUAUUUAAAGUGUCUAGCAAAGUGCUUGGACCAAAAUAGGACCUCUGAAAUGGUUAUGGUAGUGCCGUUAAGGUGAUGUUUUAAGUGCUGAUGAGCACAAAGAUGGGUAAGAUAUUCCUUCUGUUAAAAUCUACAGUCUAAUGAGAGAGAACAAGAUGAAUGCACAAUAACUAUCAUUCAGAACAGGAUUAUGAGGUGUGAAUUUCUGUGAAAAAUCAGAACAGGGAGUAAUAUGAUCCCAGGUGAUUGGCAGGGGGUGGGGGUCUGGAUUCAACUGGAGAGGGAGCUGGCAGGGAAGGCUUCCUGGAGGAUGAGAGUUCAACAAGGGGCAGGUGUAGGAUGUGGGUGGCCAAGUGACUGGGCAGAAGGAGCUGCAGAAGUAAGACCCCAAGUCAGGAAGACAAGGGCCUGCUGAGAAACACGAGCUACAAAGUGCAAGUGCAGGAAGAGUUGGGAUGAGAUUAGAAGAGGGUCUGGGGCCAGACUGUGGAAGGCCCAAAUGCCGGGCUAAGGAGUUUGUACUUAAUUCAGUGGUCAACGGGGAGUCAUUGGAGGCUGUUGAGCAGGAGAGUUGCUUUCUUUACAGCUGUGCCAGACUAAAUUAAACCUAAACAGUACUUUAUAGCUGGAAAGGGAAGGCCCAGGAAUAGCUCUUGACUCAGAAACAGGCAUUGGGGAAGGUAAUGAGAAACAGCCCUGACUGAUCAAAGCAGAGAGGUUAAUUAAAUUUGUAAUUAUUGUGAAAGGCCAUUAAAAACCCUAGUUCACUAGAGAUAACUGCUCUAGUGGGGCUUCAAAGACGAACGCUUCUUUUAACCUUGAAUAGGGGGAUGUUUGCUUCUCUGUGGAGGAGAUAUGAUUAAGAUACUUAAUAAAUGGUAGAUAAACAUGCA